UUGUUCUGUUCCUUGAAUCUAAUGCCUCUUUCAUAGUGUUGGUUUCCCUCAAAUGUCCAGCAUUUCCUGAUUUGGGCUCAUCUCAGAGUUCCAGAUCCGCUGUUUGUCACUGCUGACCACAGGUCAUCACAACAGAAGCCAGCCUCAGGGAGCUGGUGGGGCCGAUGCCAGGAGGGUGCCCAGAGCCUGGCCCUCUUAGACUGGGGCUUCCUGUGUGCUCCUAGGCUCAUCAGUUGUCUUGGGUACUGACAUGCUCCCCUGCCAUCAGCCUGUACACUUGAUGCUUUAGGGAGGGUUUGGCCAAUAUAAGUCCCAUUGCUUUUAGACUUUCCCUUUCCCACUGUCUCUGCUUGGAGCAAGCCCCAGGCAGUGCCUAGCUCAGCUGCAUCCCUCAGUGGUUUGGGGGCUGUGGUCUUCUCCUGUCUUGUUUCUCAGUCAAUCCAGUCCUAUCUGUUUGCUUUCCUAGGGAGUUGUUUAAAUUUCUGGUCAGUGAAUGGCACUCUUUCUAAUUGCAAAUGAUUAUUAUUUUUUUAAUUAUUACUUUAGCAAUUUCAUAUCAGUUUUAGAAAGAGGAUACCACAACUGUGCUCAGUGUCCUUGACAAAACUGUUUUCACUAUUUCCUUUGCUUAUCAAGUCAUUCAUUUAAUUACCAUUUAUGGAAUAUCUACCAUAUAAAAAUAUUUUCUCUACCAUACUGUCCCUAAAAUAAAGGUAUUUAGCCUCCCACAAAACACAGGUUUGGUAAAAUGAACUAAAAGAAUUUACCAAACAAAAGUGUUAACUUUCUCCUCUGAUACUAAAGGCAUUAGGGCUAUUUCCAAUUUUACUUUUUACUUCUCCAUUGUACACUGUGAUACUAACAUAAAUGUCAUAAUCAGCAAAUAUUCUGGUUUAAUGAAAAGUUACCACUAGGUGGUGCUAAGAAGUUACCCUUUUUAGAUGGAAGAAUCUUCACUUUUAAAUUGAAAUCAGAUUUGUUUAAGCUAGUGUGAAUUAGGUAGCAUCCUCACUUGCAUGCACAUACUUCUACCAAAUUAAAAAAGAAUGUUAACGUAUAUAUUUUAUUUGGGUUCAGUUUUCUAUAUUGUUCUCCAAUGCUGAGGUUUAAACUAUUCUUUAAAAAGACUACUUUUCACAGUGUAGGAUAUUUAUACCAACUCUGUGUGGGAGGUGCUUUCAAGAAGAUAACUCAAAAGGGUAUAAGUUUGGUAGGAAACUUAUCCAUGAUUCCCCUGCUGAAAAGCCAGUAACAGCUGCUGGCUCCUUCCCAAACAUUUACAUUCAAAUGAGCCAUUCAUUACCUGAAGCAUAUAGGAAACCCAGUCUUAGCCUAAAAAAGAAAAAAAAAA
Molecule: long non-coding RNA, 1351 nt
Organism: Phyllostomus discolor (pale spear-nosed bat)
Lineage: Eukaryota; Metazoa; Chordata; Mammalia; Chiroptera; Phyllostomidae
Exons: 2
Source: RefSeq, a predicted model, not a curated record